UAGGGAAUCUUCGGCAAUGGGGGCAACCCUGACCGAGCAACGCCGCGUGAGUGGAGAAGGUUUUCGGAUCGUAAAGCUCUGUUGUAAGAGAAGAACGUGUGUGAGAGUGGAAAGUUCACACAGUGACGGUAACUUACCAGAAAGGGACGGCUAACUACGUGCCAGCAGCCGCGGUAAUACGUAGGUCCCGAGCGUUGUCCGGAUUUAUUGGGCGUAAAGCGAGCGCAGGCGGUUUAAUAAGUCUGAAGUUAAAGGCAGUGGCUUAACCAUUGUUCGCUUUGGAAACUGUUAAACUUGAGUGCAGAAGGGGAGAGUGGAAUUCCAGGUGUAGCGGUGAAAUGCGUAGAUAUAUGGAGGAACACCGGUGGCGAAAGCGGCUCUCUGGUCUGUAACUGACGCUGAGGCUCGAAAGCGUGGGGAGCAAACAGG
Molecule: ribosomal RNA, 429 nt
Filed under: bacterium
Lineage: Bacteria
Description: partial 16S ribosomal RNA
Rfam family: Bacterial small subunit ribosomal RNA
Source: RNAcentral